UACGGGGGGGGCAAGCGUUGUUCGGAAUUACUGGGCGUAAAGGGCUCGUGGGCGGCCAACUAAGUCAGACGUGAAAUCCCCAGGCUCAACCUGGGAACUGCGUCUGAUACUGGAUGGCUUGAAUUCGGGAGAGGGAUGCAGAAUUCCAGGUGUAGCGGUGAAAUGCGUAGAUAUCUGGAGGAACACCGAUGGCGAAGGCAGCCCCCUGGGCUAACACUGACGCUCAUGCACGAAAGCGUGGGGAGCAAACAGG
RNAcentral lists this ribosomal RNA (253 nucleotides) under uncultured bacterium. RNAcentral describes it as "partial 16S ribosomal RNA". It matches the Rfam family "Bacterial small subunit ribosomal RNA", at positions 524 to 776 of the family's 1533-position model. The record is from RNAcentral.